This is a long non-coding RNA of Acinonyx jubatus (cheetah), 2228 nucleotides long. RefSeq lists it as uncharacterized. The record is from RefSeq and is a predicted model, not a curated record. Lineage: Eukaryota; Metazoa; Chordata; Mammalia; Carnivora; Felidae. The transcript has 3 exons.
CUUAUUUAUUCAUACACUGAACAUCGAAUCUCCAGAAACCACAUCAAAAAUAACCGUUUUAUUUGCAGCCACUUCAUUUCAUUUGUUAAUCUGCUUUUUGGGCGACAUAACUGGUACACACCAAUUUUUUUUUAAAAAUGCAAAAGAGCGCACAAAGAAAUCUCUCCCCUUUACUCUUGUGUCCUAGAGAUGAAUCAUGAUGAAGUUUAUUUUGUAUCUUUCCAGGGUUAUUUAAACAUACACUGGCAAAUACACUACUAUGUAUUUAAACAUACACUUGCUUUCUUUUCUACACAAAGUGUAGCAUGUUCUAUACUAUGUGUCCAAAUGUGGCCAUCGUUAAUAGCGCUCAAUGCACACAGUUUCAACAUUAAGUUUUGUGCUCUUUUUCCUGUGUUGUACAAGAAGGUAUGCUUUGUAGAAACUUCUUAAAAUAGGGAUUGAUUUUGCACUUAGAUGCUUCCAUUAAACAAAUUCUGAUGCUGUACACUAACAGUAUCUUUUCUUUUUACUUGAUUUUCAGAUAUCCCAUUUAAAUGAUCAACUGUAUAGAAUUAUCACCAUUACCAGAUGUGAGGUUUGCACAGCCCUGAAGGUGAAAGGUACAAUGCCACUCAUUUUUGCUAAACAAUUUGAUAUUAAAAUUACAUUAGAUUUUAAAUAAAUGCUGACAUACGAUGGCAUGGAAUGUAACAUUUAAAUAAAUUUGAAGAUGAAACAUGAAACUUCAAAGAAACUCCAGAGAAAUAUCAGAACUGUAACUGGCUGCUCCAGGCUACCCAGACUUCCAGAAGGUAAAUAUUUUUUUCUCCUCUGCAGCUGGUGCUAUUUCUAUUGAAAAAGUUGAGAGGGGUGCCUGGGUGGCUCAGUGGGUUAAGCGUCUGACUUCCGCCCAGGUCAUGAUCUCACGGUUCGUGAGUUCGAGUCCCGCAAGGGGCCCUGUGCUGACAGCUCAGAGCCUGGAGCCUGCUUCAGAUUCUGUGUCUCCCUCUCUCUCUGCCCCUCCUCUGCUCAUGCUCAUGCUCUGUCUCUUAAAAAGUGAAUAAACAUUAAUAAAAAUAAAUACAUAAAAAAUUUAAAAAUAAGAAGAAUAAAAGAAAAGAAAAGUUGAGAAACAAAAUGCAAUGCUAAUUGAAGCCCAGACAGGAUAAGCAAAUUGCCCCAAAUCACACGUUAACUCAACCAAUAUGGAUUCAGCAUCUGCAGCUCACUGUGCAAACAUGGGGGCUAAAAUAAUGAGCAAAACAGAUGCAGACAUCAACCUUAUAAAGUUUGUAUGCAAGCGGGGGUGAAGGGAAGAGAGAGUCAUUAAAUUAAUAUUCAACGUGUAACCGUUUUAACCAGCUGCUCUCUUGGUUAGUGCAGCAGAACAUAUUAAGUAAAAACAACUCAAAUCUUUAUUGCAGUCUUUCCAGGAAAUACACAAGGGAGAAUCCAUUAUUAUUGCACAAGAAAAUCUCUUUAGCAUCUUUUCCUGUACCUUGCAUUUUCAAUAUGGCCUUCAGCAGCAAGUCACUGGCAAAAAAAUGAACUUUCCCAGUUUUUGUCCUGGCCUUCAGCCUGAAGAGCCCCUAGCACUCGGGCCUCCCACCCCCUCUCUUUUCCCAUCUAGUCUACCCUCAAAAAUGAAGCUAGCUUCUUAUAAGAGAUUUCGGUGUUUGGGGUGGUGGAAAGAAAAUGUGAACGCUCAUGAAUUGAUUUUUGUACCUGUCACGUUUUUAAUCCACACAGCAUGGUAGAUGUAAAAGUGCAAAGUACUGGACCUCUGGGGAAUUAGGGUCGACUUCUCUGGGAAAGGGACCUAUUAAACUGAGCUCAGACUGUUCAAUAAGUAGUAAUCAAGAAAAGGAGGUAAGAACAUUGCAGACUGAGGGAUCACAGUCAACGAGAUUUCAUGGUGGGAGAAGCAUGGAGACAAUAAAAGGUCAUCACGACUAGAAUGCAAGGUAAGAGGAUGAGGGGAAGAAUCUAGAGAUGGGGAAAAAGUCCAGUUAUCCAGGGCCUUGUGGACCAUGUUUAGGAUUUGGUCCCUUUCUCUGAGAGCAGUGAGAAGUUCUCAAAAGGAAGCAGGACAGUAAUGGGAUCAGAUUUGCAUUCUUUUUAAAAACAUUUUUUAAGUUUAUUUAUUUAUUUUGAGAGAGAGAGAAAGAGAGAGAGUGCUUGCACGCAUGAGCAAGAGAGGGGUAGAGAGAGAGAGGCCGAGAAUCCCAGGCAGGCUCUGAGCCAUC